GUAGGUGGCAAGCGUUGUCCGGAAUUAUUGGGCGUAAAGCGCGCGCAGGCGGUUCUUUAAGUCUGAUGUGAAAGCCCACGGCUCAACCGUGGAGGGUCAUUGGAAACUGGAGAACUUGAGUACAGAAGAGGAAAGCGGAAUUCCACGUGUAGCGGUGAAAUGCGUAGAGAUGUGGAGGAACACCAGUGGCGAAGGCGGCUUUCUGGUCUGUAACUGACGCUGAGGCGCGAAAGCGUGGGGAGCAAACAGGAUUAGAUACCCUGGUAGUCCACGCCGUAAACGAUGAGUGCUAAGUGUUAGGGGGUUUCCGCCCCCCUUAGUGGUGCAGCUAACGCAUUAAGCACUCCGCCUGGGGAGUACGGCCGCAAGGCUG
RNAcentral lists this ribosomal RNA (373 nucleotides) under uncultured organism. RNAcentral's name for it is "partial 16S ribosomal RNA". It matches the Rfam family "Bacterial small subunit ribosomal RNA", at positions 527 to 896 of the family's 1533-position model. The record is from RNAcentral.